GGGGCUGUAGCUCGGUGGUAAAGUGCUCGCCUGGCAGGUGUGAGGCACUGGGUUUGAUCCUCAGCACCACA
RNAcentral lists this transfer RNA (71 nucleotides) under Marmota monax (woodchuck). Its description in RNAcentral is "tRNA.Ala". The record is from RNAcentral. Lineage: Eukaryota; Metazoa; Chordata; Mammalia; Rodentia; Sciuridae.